GGGUAAUACUGUAUAAUCCCUGCGGGGGAAAGAUUUAUCGCUAUUAGAUGAGCCUAUGUUAGAUUAGCUAGUUGGUAGGGUAAAGGCCUACCAAGGCGAUGAUCUAUAGCUGGUCUGAGAGGAUGAUCAGCCACACUGGAACUGAGAUACGGUCCAGACUCCUACGGGAGGCAGCAGUGGGGAAUAUUGGACAAUGGGCGCAAGCCUGAUCCAGCUAUGCCGCAUGAGUGAGGAAGGCCUUAGGGUUGUAAAACUCUUUCAGUAGGGAAGAUAAUGACGGUACCUACAGAAGAAGUCCCGGCAAACUCCGUGCCAGCAGCCGCGGUAAUACGGAGGGGGCAAGCGUUGUUCGGAAUUAUUGGGCGUAAAGGGCAUGUAGGCGGUUCGGUAAGUUAAAGGU
This 400-nucleotide ribosomal RNA is filed under the name Anaplasma phagocytophilum. RNAcentral's name for it is "bacterial SSU rRNA". It matches the Rfam family "Bacterial small subunit ribosomal RNA", at positions 161 to 595 of the family's 1533-position model. Lineage: Bacteria; Pseudomonadati; Pseudomonadota; Alphaproteobacteria; Rickettsiales; Anaplasmataceae. The record is from RNAcentral.